Molecule: ribosomal RNA, 253 nt
Filed under: uncultured bacterium
Lineage: Bacteria
Description: partial 16S ribosomal RNA
Rfam family: Bacterial small subunit ribosomal RNA
Source: RNAcentral
UACGUAGGGGGCAAGCGUUGUCCGGAUUCAUUGGGCGUAAAGAGCGUGUAGGCGGCCAGGUAGGUCGGUUGUGAAAACUGGAGGCUCAACCUUCAGAGGUCGACCGAAACCAUCUGGCUAGAGUCCGGGAGAGGAGAGUGGAAUUCCUGGUGUAGCGGUGAAAUGCGCAGAUAUCAGGAAGAACACCCGUGGCGAAAGCGGCUCUCUGGAACGGUACUGACACUGAGAGACGAAAGCUAGGGGAGCGAAUGGG